Molecule: non-coding RNA, 197 nt
Organism: Vicugna pacos (alpaca)
Lineage: Eukaryota; Metazoa; Chordata; Mammalia; Artiodactyla; Camelidae
Source: RefSeq, a predicted model, not a curated record
UUUCACUGUGCUGUACUGCUGCUCUGAUGGCAGGGCUGUGGCAGAAGGGCCAGAGACAGGCAAGCAGGCUAUUGUUAGAAGGUAUUCAGAGCUGUGCUUAAUUUUGGAAAACAGUACUGUGAUAAUGGAGCACUUUUUCCUUCAAAUUAGAAUUUGAGGAAGGUAUAAAACCAAUAUUCUGGAAUCAACCCAGGAAA